GAAACAACCUGUACGGUGAGGCUCCUAUACAAACACAGGCCACUGCCCAAAAACGUCCAAAGACGCCAAUGGGUAGAACAGGGAUUGUCGGAUUAAGGCUUUCCAUAAUGUGGCUAAGAAACCAGUUUUCUUUACGUUGUAUAGUGCCGAAACUUGAGCGAGGGGAUACUGU
This 172-nucleotide small RNA is filed under the name Listeria booriae. RNAcentral describes it as "M-box riboswitch aptamer (ykoK leader)". It matches the Rfam family "M-box riboswitch aptamer (ykoK leader)". Rfam says of the family: M-box riboswitch, also know as ykoK leader is described as a metaloregulatory RNA that sense divalent metals and function as a genetic control element of genes related to divalent metal transport in bacteria. It was first reported upstream of the B.subtilis ykoK gene and genes with related functions in other bacteria. Phylogenetic analysis of the distribution of M-box RNAs across bacterial genomes revealed that M-box riboswitches are most often employed for the regulation of Mg2+ transporter genes RNAcentral also lists the same sequence under 1 other name. Lineage: Bacteria; Bacillati; Bacillota; Bacilli; Caryophanales; Listeriaceae. The record is from Rfam by way of RNAcentral.